Molecule: ribosomal RNA, 429 nt
Filed under: Actinomycetes bacterium
Lineage: Bacteria; Bacillati; Actinomycetota; Actinomycetes
Description: Actinobacteria bacterium partial 16S ribosomal RNA
Rfam family: Bacterial small subunit ribosomal RNA
Source: RNAcentral
UAGGGAAUCUUCCGCAAUGGACGAAAGUCUGACGGAGCAACGCCGCGUGAGUGAUGAAGGGUUUCGGCUCGUAAAACUCUGUUGUUAAGGAAGAACACUCGAGGUAGUAACUGGCCUUGAGAUGACGGUACUUAACCAGAAAGCCACGGCUAACUACGUGCCAGCAGCCGCGGUAAUACGUAGGUGGCAAGCGUUAUCCGGAAUUAUUGGGCGUAAAGCGCGCGUAGGCGGUAAAAUAAGUCUGAUGUGAAAGCCCCCGGCUCAACCGGGGAGGGUCAUUGGAAACUGUUUUACUUGAGUGCAGAAGAGGAGAGUGGAAUUCCAUGUGUAGCGGUGAAAUGCGCAGAGAUAUGGAGGAACACCAGUGGCGAAGGCGGCUCUCUGGUCUGUAACUGACGCUGAGGUGCGAAAGCGUGGGGAUCAAACAGG